Long non-coding RNA from Pogoniulus pusillus (Red-fronted tinkerbird), 1589 nucleotides. RefSeq lists it as uncharacterized. The record is from RefSeq and is a predicted model, not a curated record. The transcript has 7 exons. Lineage: Eukaryota; Metazoa; Chordata; Aves; Piciformes; Lybiidae.
CCAUGGACGUGCGAUUUGGAGCUGUUUAUUCCAUCCUUGCUCUGAGUGCUUUACGGACUCCUGUACAGCGUGUGCCCAGGGCAUCCUUGCAUACUGAAGGUGCCAUUAGGAAGCAGAAGUAUGAAAAUUGUAAUGUUUCACUCCAAAGCAAUUAACCCUCUCACCCUCCAAGGAGUGCAGAGGAGGAAAAGCUCAAUUAAAGAGACUUCGGAGUUUCCAUACCUGUGGCAACUGCUUUGCAAGUCCCCUGCUGUGCAAAUCACCGUUCACAGAGGAAGAUCUUCCUGUCAGUGACUGACAAGAGGUGCCAGGAGCAGGCUAGGAGACCAUUAAACCCAUGAGUUGGCAAAUCAGCAGGCUGACAGUGUUGAAGAGGCCAAGAUAUAUCAAAGACUGAAGGAGAAGAGGAAAUGUGUGGGAUUUUAGUGGAAGAUAGUAAAGGUAGCCAGGAGACUGCUUCUCACCUGGUAGUUGCAUGGCACUUUUGGAUUCUUGGAGAGAGAAGCACAUUAUGGAGCAGGUUUGCUGACGUGACUUUUGAACCCUUUGGGGAUCCACACUGGAGCAGUCUGUUCCUGAAGGACUGAGCUCAAAUGAAGGGACCCAUGCUGGAGCCGGUUAUGAAGAACUGCAGCCUAUGGGAAGAACUCAAAUUCAUGAAGGACUGUCUGCUAUGCGAGGGACCCUGUGAUGGAACAGGGAAAGAGUUGUGGAGUAUUCUCUCAGGGGCCAUUUGAAAUGGAAAAGAGUUCUGUUUUGGCAGAUCCUGAAGAAAGUGAGCUGUCAUUCAGCACUGAAAGGGCUUUAUGAAGGAAGCUGGAGGCAGUUCUCAUUAGUCUCACUGACAUCUUUUAUCACUUAUCAGAGGAACAAGCAAACGGAGAGCAAUUCCUUUGAUCAUGGCAAAAGUAGAAAGAGUAUUAAAAACCUUAUGAAGAUUCACUAAGUAGAAAGUGGAAAAGACAGUCUGUGCCAUGUUUCAAAGAAGGAACAUGAUUUAAAGUUGCCACAUUUGCUUGUAUAUAUUAAAGAAUUGUUACAGGUGAUGCAUAUUACAUGCAUCCUUAGGUUUUUGUUGUUGUUUUGUUUAAAAAAACAACAUGCAACAGUCAAAGGAGGUUUUAAGCAGAAUGGAUGGAAAAUAAAAGGUGAGCCUGUCAGGGAGGAAUUAUGUCAUUCAGUGAAAUUCCUUGAAAAUAAACCCAAGGUUGCAACAGUGGCACCAUGCAUUGGAAAAGAAACCUGCUCUCAUUGAGGAAUGUUAAAUCUUUAAGUCAUCACCUAACAUGAUGCCCCCGUCAUGGGCCUUGCACUGUUGUCAACAGAGCAGGGAGAAAAAGAGAAGCAACUAUACCCUCUUACCCAGAACAUUAUGAAGUCUUAGAUCCACUAGUGCUGUGUGGCUGAGGCUCAGUUAUACACUCCCCACACAGUUCUCAGUUUCUGCAUGUGGUCAGCUCAUACCAAAGCAUGGGAUUUGCAUAGCCUUUGAAGGGCCUUGUUUUAACCUGUGACAAUACAGGCAUCACAACUAUCCAGGCAUUUUCUUCCAGCAUAGACUCUGUCAGCCUUGCCCCUGCAGCACUUUU